GCUGGGUGCAGUGGCACACACCUGUAAUCCCAGCAGCUCCGGAGGCUGAGGCAGGAGGAUCAUGAAUUCAAAGCCAGCCACAACAACUUAGCAAUUCCCUAAGCAACUCAGGGAGACCCUGUCUCUA
This 127-nucleotide small RNA is filed under the name Marmota monax (woodchuck). Lineage: Eukaryota; Metazoa; Chordata; Mammalia; Rodentia; Sciuridae. The record is from RNAcentral.